CGUGGAGACAGGUGGUGCAUGGCUGUCGUCAGCUCGUGUCGUGAGAUGUUGGGUUAAGUCCCGCAACGAGCGCAACCCUUAUCCUUAGUUGCCAUCAAUUCAGUUGGGCACUUUAAGGAGACUGCCGGUGUCAAACCGGAGGAAGGUGGGGACGACGUCAAGUCCUCAUGGCCCUUAUGUCCAGGGCUACACACGUGCUACAAUGGGCGGCACAAAGGGCAGCGACGCCGCGAGGUAUAGCAAAUCCCAAAAAACCGUUCUCGGUUCGGAUCGGAGUCUGCAACUCGACUCCGUGAAGUUGGAAUCGCUAGUAAUCGUGGAUCAGCAUGCCACGGUGAAUACGUUCCCGGGCCUUGUACACACCGCCCGUCACACCACGAAAGUCUGCUGUACUCGAAGUCGCUGAG
RNAcentral lists this ribosomal RNA (407 nucleotides) under uncultured Methylomirabilota bacterium. RNAcentral's name for it is "bacterial SSU rRNA". It matches the Rfam family "Bacterial small subunit ribosomal RNA", at positions 1027 to 1434 of the family's 1533-position model. The record is from RNAcentral. Lineage: Bacteria; Methylomirabilota (SeqCode).